Molecule: ribosomal RNA, 310 nt
Filed under: uncultured bacterium
Lineage: Bacteria
Description: bacterial SSU rRNA
Rfam family: Bacterial small subunit ribosomal RNA
Source: RNAcentral
AACGAACGCUGGCGGCAGGCUUAACACAUGCAAGUCGAACGGGCGUAGCAAUACGUCAGUGGCGGACGGGUGAGUAACACGUGGGAAUGUGCCCUUUCGGUUCGGAACAACUCGGGGAAACUCGUGCUAAUUCCGGAUACGCCCUUACGGGGAAAGAUUUAUCGCCGAAAGAUCAGCCCGCGUCCGAUUAGCUAGUUGGUGAGGUAAAGGCUCACCAAGGCACCGAUCGGUAGCUUGGUUGAGAGAACGACCAGCCACACUGGGACUGAGACACGGCCCAGACUCCUACGGGAGGCAGCAGUGGGGAAUC